Molecule: ribosomal RNA, 406 nt
Filed under: uncultured bacterium
Lineage: Bacteria
Description: bacterial SSU rRNA
Rfam family: Bacterial small subunit ribosomal RNA
Source: RNAcentral
GGGGAAUAUUGCGCAAUGGGCGAAAGCCUGACGCAGCGACGCCGCGUGAGGGACGAAGGUCUUCGGAUUGUAAACCUCUUUCAGCAGGGAUGAAGCGAAAGUGACAGUACCUGCAGAAGAAGCACCGGCUAACUACGUGCCAGCAGCCGCGGUAAUACGUAGGGUGCAAGCGUUGUCCGGAUUUAUUGGGCGUAAAGAGCUCGUAGGCGGUCUGUCGCGUCGGAUGUGAAAACCCAAUGGCUUAACCUUGGGCCUGCAUUCGAUACGGGCAGACUAGAGUGUGGUAGGGGAAACUGGAACUCCUGGUGUAGCGGUGGAAUGCGCAGAUAUCAGGAAGAACACCGAUGGCGAAGGCAGGUUUCUGGGCCAUAACUGACGCUGAGGAGCGAAAGCGUGGGGAGCAAAC